This is a long non-coding RNA of Trifolium pratense (red clover), 716 nucleotides long. RefSeq lists it as uncharacterized. The transcript has 7 exons. The record is from RefSeq and is a predicted model, not a curated record. NCBI's taxonomy places the organism in Eukaryota, Viridiplantae, Streptophyta, Magnoliopsida, Fabales, Fabaceae.
GUAUACACGAAUUGAAGCUCUCUCUCGUCACGAAUCGAAGCUCUCCGACUGAAAACGCAAACAGGAGUGGAGCCAAGGUUCCUGAAGUUAAUUGGUGUAAGUGUGGAGAAAGUGUUGCUAUGGAAGUAUCGAUGGGAAGUACAAAUGGAUUCUUAACUAAAAGAUUUGAAGAUGGAGCUGAGAAGUUUCUUGUUGAAGCAACCAAUCACCCAACUGGCCUAGAGACUGAUGAGGUGAAAAUGGGAAUUUUGAUGGGUACUGCUAACUUUACAAUAGGUGAGAACCAUUAUAAGGAAUAGCAUUAAGGAGACAUUGGAUCAAUAUGAUAUCUUGAUUUCCCCUGCACCUUCCUUCAGUUGCUUAUAAAAUUUGUGAAAAGAAAAAUGAUCCUUUGGCUAUGUAUGCUGGCGACAUCAUGACUGUGUUCAAUGAUCCCACGGCAUUAACAGAGGAUGAGCUGUAUGAUUUGCGAGACCGCUGGGCAACUUGUUUUCUUGAACUAUAUAAUCCUGAGGUAGAUUAUGAUGAUGCCGACGAGAAAGAUUAGGAGCUAGUUAGGUUUGUGUGAAGUUACAAUUGACUAGUUAUGAUGAUGUUUUAAUUUGUACUUUGGAUGGAUUAGUAUUAAUUAUUAUGAUGUUUUGUAUUUUGGAUUACAAUGUGGUUGUACUUUAAUGAUAUUAUUACUAUAUAUAUAUAUAUGUUGAAUUUGGCUA